GCACCUGUAGCUCAACGGAUAGAGCAAAUCACUUCUAAUGAUUAGGUUGUGGGUUCGAUUCCCGCCAGGUGCG
Molecule: transfer RNA, 73 nt
Filed under: Candidatus Levyibacteriota bacterium
Lineage: Bacteria; Candidatus Levyibacteriota
Description: tRNA-Arg
Rfam family: tRNA
About the family: Transfer RNA (tRNA) molecules are approximately 80 nucleotides in length. Their secondary structure includes four short double-helical elements and three loops (D, anti-codon, and T loops).
Source: RNAcentral